CAUAACUGACUUUCUUAUUUUCUUCAUUUCCCCAACUAGGCUUUAGUUGAAGUGUCAAAUUAUCAUCCUUGCGUUUGCACAGCUAUCUGCACUCUGGGAUUGCCCCUGCUGCUGCUCUCAGGCAUAAAGGAAAACUCUGGGUUAACUCCUCCAGGUUCAUUGAUCUCAAAGCUUGGAAUCAAGGUCCCACUUUCUUCUUAGAGAUCUGCUCCUUCCCUUUUCCAGCUGCCAAAAAAACAGAGUGCUCCUGCCAGGUUUCAGAAACUGCAGUCUUUUGAUGAUGCAAGAAAUCACUGUGUUUUGGUACAAGCUUUGGAAAGCUCUGGGGAUCCAGCUUAGAAGGAGAUCAGCCAAAACAAAGGGUGAGGAGGGAGUGGGAGAAAUAAGCUGUUUGAUCCAACGUCAAAUCCCACCACUGACUCCUCUGAAUGAGGCUAUCAGAUGAAGCCCUGUAGCAGUGAGCUGUGUGAAACUGAAAUCGGAGAUUCCACUUACCUUCUGCCUCUUAGAAUCAGACAAACCCUCCACACAGCAAGAGGAUGAAUGGGUCAGUGGGGAGCCUUUGAAGAAUGCUGGAGAAGGACUUGGACAUAUACAAUGAUCUGGAAACAGUCAAAAUCCAGUUGCUGUUUGGCUCUCUGCUUCCAGGGAAAUGUCACAGAAACAGAAUAGGAACUGAAAGCCAGGGUAGAGAGGAUGAUGGACAGAGCCAAGAACCUCCCAGAAGAAUCAGAAAUGGACAAAGGCCUUGGGGAAAGGAGGCAACACUUCAAAUCCCGGCAAGACAAGGGCAGGGCAGGGUGAAAUGUCCUGAAGACACAGAGUUGGGGCAUCCCUUUGAAGGUCCCGGACAAGAUAAGGAGAAAGCUGAGGAAGUCCGUCUAUGGAGGAAAACACAAAAGGACAGGAGGACCAGCAAAGAGAGCUACAUAACGGAUCGCGCAGCCACAGAAAGACCUCAUUUCCCGUCAGCUGUAAAAUUCCCAGGGGCUUGGCAAUAUUGUGUUUCCUGCCUUAGGAUUUCACGAACCCGACUGCUUAUGUUAAAUUGCCCUUCGCGUGAGCUGAAUCAAGUGGGGUCCCCGUGCAACGAACAGAACCCCGUGUACUUGUUCAAGGUCCGUGUCACCCUAUUGAAGGUCCAGCCUGUGGACUCAGAGGUCACACUGAUGGCAUGGUCCCCCACCUCGCUCCACUGCAGCUCUG
RNAcentral lists this long non-coding RNA (1206 nucleotides) under Ursus maritimus (polar bear). Its description in RNAcentral is "lncRNA (ENSUMAG00000020457.1)". The record is from RNAcentral. Lineage: Eukaryota; Metazoa; Chordata; Mammalia; Carnivora; Ursidae.